RNAcentral lists this ribosomal RNA (240 nucleotides) under uncultured bacterium. RNAcentral describes it as "partial 16S ribosomal RNA". It matches the Rfam family "Bacterial small subunit ribosomal RNA", at positions 94 to 334 of the family's 1533-position model. The record is from RNAcentral.
AGCGGCGGACGGGUGAGUAACGCGUGGGUAACCUGCCUCAUACAGGGGGAUAACAGUUAGAAAUGGCUGCUAAUACCGCAUAAGACCACAGCACCGCAUGGUGCGGGGGUAAAAACUCCGGUGGUAUGAGAUGGACCCGCGUCUGAUUAGCUAGUUGGUAAGGUAACGGCUUACCAAGGCGACGAUCAGUAGCCGACCUGAGAGGGUGACCGGCCACAUUGGGACUGAGACACGGCCCAA